RNAcentral lists this transfer RNA (83 nucleotides) under Gemmatimonadota bacterium. RNAcentral's name for it is "tRNA-Tyr". It matches the Rfam family "tRNA". From Rfam's summary of the family: Transfer RNA (tRNA) molecules are approximately 80 nucleotides in length. Their secondary structure includes four short double-helical elements and three loops (D, anti-codon, and T loops). The record is from RNAcentral. Lineage: Bacteria; Pseudomonadati; Gemmatimonadota.
GGUGGGGUACCAGAGCGGCCAAAUGGAGCAGACUGUAAAUCUGCCGGCGUAAGCCUACGUAGGUUCGAAUCCUACCCCCACCA